RNAcentral lists this ribosomal RNA (254 nucleotides) under uncultured bacterium. RNAcentral's name for it is "partial 16S ribosomal RNA". It matches the Rfam family "Bacterial small subunit ribosomal RNA", at positions 524 to 776 of the family's 1533-position model. The record is from RNAcentral.
GACGUAGGGUCCAAGCGUUGUCCGGAUUUACUGGGCGUAAAGAGCGCGUAGGCGGUCUGUUAAGUGUGACGUGAAAUCUCCAGGGCUCAACCCGGAAACUGCUUUACAUACUGACAGACUGGAGUGAUGCAGAGGUUUGUGGAAUUCCUGGUGUAACGGUGAAAUGUGUUGAUAUCAGGAGGAACACCCAUGGCGAAGGCAGCAAACUGGGCAUCAACUGACGCUGAGGCGCGAAAGCGUGGGUAGCAAACAGG